GUGCCAGCCGCCGCGGUAAUACGUAGGGCGCAAGCGUUAUCCGGAAUUAUUGGGCGUAAAGAGCUCGUAGGCGGUUUGUCGCGUCUGCUGUGAAAGACCGGGGCUCAACUCCGGUUCUGCAGUGGGUACGGGCAGACUAGAGUGAUGUAGGGGAGACUGGAAUUCCUGGUGUAGCGGUGAAAUGCGCAGAUAUCAGGAGGAACACCGAUGGCGAAGGCAGGUCUCUGGGCAUUAACUGACGCUGAGGAGCGAAAGCAUGGGGAGCGAACAGGAUUAGAAACCCCUGUAGUCC
RNAcentral lists this ribosomal RNA (292 nucleotides) under uncultured bacterium. RNAcentral describes it as "partial 16S ribosomal RNA". It matches the Rfam family "Bacterial small subunit ribosomal RNA", at positions 505 to 796 of the family's 1533-position model. The record is from RNAcentral.